Molecule: ribosomal RNA, 446 nt
Filed under: uncultured bacterium
Lineage: Bacteria
Description: partial 16S ribosomal RNA
Rfam family: Bacterial small subunit ribosomal RNA
Source: RNAcentral
CCUACGGGAGGCAGCAGUCGAGAAUCAUUCACAAUGGGGGAAACCCUGAUGGUGCGACGCCGCGUGGGGGAAUGAAGGUCUUCGGAUUGUAAACCCCUGUCAUGUGGGAGCAAAUUAAAAAGAUAGUACCACAAGAGGAAGAGACGGCUAACUCUGUGCCAGCAGCCGCGGUAAUACAGAGGUCUCAAGCGUUGUUCGGAAUCACGGGGCGUAAGGCGUGCGUAGGCUGUUUCGUAAGUCGUGUGUGAAAGGCGCGGGCUCAACCCGCGGACGGCACAUGAUACUGCGAGACUAGAGUAAUGGAGGGGGAACCGGAAUUCUCGGUGUAGCAGUGAAAUGCGUAGAUAUCGAGAGGAACACUCGUGGCGAAGGCGGGUUCCUGGACAUUAACUGACGCUGAGGCACGAAGGCCAGGGGAGCGAAAGGGAUUAGAUACCCGUGUAGUC